This 492-nucleotide ribosomal RNA is filed under the name uncultured bacterium. RNAcentral's name for it is "partial 16S ribosomal RNA". It matches the Rfam family "Bacterial small subunit ribosomal RNA", at positions 29 to 507 of the family's 1533-position model. The record is from RNAcentral.
AGUGGACGCUGGCGGUAGGCCUAACACAUGCAAGUCGAACGGCAGCACAGUAAGAGCUUGCUCUUACGGGUGGCGAGUGGCGGACGGGUGAGGAAUACAUCGGAAUCUACUUUUUCGUGGGGGAUAACGUAGGGAAACUUACGCUAAUACCGCAUACGACCUACGGGUGAAAGCAGGGGAUCUUCGGACCUUGCGCGAUUGAAUGAGCCGAUGUCGGAUUAGCUAGUUGGCGGGGUAAAGGCCCACCAAGGCGACGAUCCGUAGCUGGUCUGAGAGGAUGAUCAGCCACACUGGAACUGAGACACGGUCCAGACUCCUACGGGAGGCAGCAGUGGGGAAUAUUGGGCAAUGAGCGCAAGCCUGAUCCAGCCAUACCGCGUGGGUGAAGAAGGCCUUCGGGUUGUAAAGCCCUUUUGUUGGGAAAGAAAAGCAGCAGGUUAAUACCCCGCUGUUCUGACGGUACCCAAAGAAUAAGCACCGGCUAACUUCGUG